This 417-nucleotide unclassified non-coding RNA is filed under the name fungal sp. RNAcentral's name for it is "partial internal transcribed spacer region". The stretch from base 1 to 46 matches the Rfam family "Eukaryotic small subunit ribosomal RNA", at positions 1786 to 1831 of the family's 1831-position model. Lineage: Eukaryota; Fungi. The record is from RNAcentral.
AAGUCGUAACAAGGUUUCCGUAGGUGAACCUGCGGAAGGAUCAUUAACAACAUAUCCUAACUAAAAAACCCUGUGAACUUUCAACCCCAAGCUCUUGAUCCGAGGAGUUCAGCAAUCUCUGGUAAAUCACGUCGAACGGUUUGAUUCAGAGACCUCUGCGUUGUGGAUGACUGCUGACGCUAAAGGUGCAAUCGAGCGCUAGGAUCAGUGGUUUGGUUUCCCCUCAAACCACUUCAAUGAAUGACAGCGUCAUUGAAGUGUGAUGGGGAGGUCGCUUAACGCACGCUGUAGGCUCACACGAGCCGGCGUCCAAAUCACCGGGCGCAAGCCCCCCUAAAACCACAUGUCAGCGUAGGCCCUUCUGUCGUGGUUGGGCGUAAAAACGAACAACUGUUAACAAUGGAUAUCUUGGUUCUC